Molecule: small nuclear RNA, 303 nt
Filed under: Echinops telfairi (small Madagascar hedgehog)
Lineage: Eukaryota; Metazoa; Chordata; Mammalia; Afrosoricida; Tenrecidae
Description: 7SK RNA (ENSETEG00000024622.1)
Rfam family: 7SK RNA
About the family: 7SK was discovered as an abundant small nuclear RNA in the mid-70s but a possible function has only recently been suggested. Two independent studies have found that 7SK RNA binds the CDK9/cyclin T complex (known as elongation factor P-TEFb).
Source: RNAcentral
GGAUGUGAGGGCGAUUGACUGUGAGCUAUGUGACCCCAUUUGUCACCAGGAUUGAUUCAGCUGAUCUGGCUGGACAGGCCAAUGUCCCCUUCCUCCCUCUGCACUCUGUGUGGGUCCCUCCAAAAUCUGUAUGCACUGUUAAAGAGGAUAACCUUCACCAGUAGAGAAGGACCUUCCUUUCAGAGGAAAUGUGUAAAAGUAACUGCGUUCCCUUAUUAGAACCUCCAAACAAGGGCUCAAAUAUUCUAUUAUCAUUAGUAGCAAUCACAUUGAGGGCCUACUAACGGACACUGUAUGAGGCCU